UACGUAGGCAGCGAGCGUUGUUCGGAAUUACUGGGCGUAAAGAGUGUGUAGGCGGUGCUCUAAGUUCGGUGUGAAAUCUCCCGGCUUAACUGGGAGGGUGCGCCGGAAACUGGAGUGCUCGAGCGUGGGAGAGGAAAGCGGAAUUCCUGGUGUAGCGGUGAAGUGCGUAGAUAUCAGGAGGAACACCUGCGGUGUAGACGGCUUUCUGGACCAUUGCUGACGCUGAGACACGAAAGCGUGGGUAGCAAACAGG
This 253-nucleotide ribosomal RNA is filed under the name uncultured bacterium. RNAcentral's name for it is "partial 16S ribosomal RNA". It matches the Rfam family "Bacterial small subunit ribosomal RNA", at positions 524 to 776 of the family's 1533-position model. The record is from RNAcentral.